Molecule: long non-coding RNA, 2417 nt
Organism: Cyprinus carpio carpio
Lineage: Eukaryota; Metazoa; Chordata; Actinopteri; Cypriniformes; Cyprinidae
Source: Ensembl
AUAUCCAAGGAAUGGCUGCUAAGGAAGAACAAUGACUAAUUGUUUCCUCUCUUUAGGUUCUCAACUAUGAUUCCAUCCGGACCUGUUGUGUUAAUAAUAAUAAAAAAAAAAAAAUAAAAAAAAAGAGAGACUGAAAACCAUGGUGUUUAUGUUUGUGUGUAUUGGUGUUGUCCUGUUUGGUUGUCUAUGUGUCGUUGUGUAUUUGUUGUGUUUUUAUCCAAAUAUUUCUGCUCCUACUAUUCUAUAUCUCUAAUAGGUACGAGUGCAUGCUGUCCCAGAAAUAUUCAGUGCAGCUCAUUGACAUUCUGGGAGUGGUUGCUGUGCUCGUGGCUAGACAUCAGUGUUUCAUCGCAUCAUCACAUCACUCGUUAACUCUACGUCAUCUGAGAGACCUGUGCUAAAGUCUACCAGCUGAUAUAUAUAGAUUUACAUAUAGAUCAAAAGAUAUUUUUAUUCUCCCAUUUAUACCAGUAGUCGUGAGGAAAUCUAUACCUUGCAGGUGAAGGGUAAGGAAAGGAAAGGUAUGAGAUGUUGAAAACGAUCAACGAAAGUUUGGAAAUAAACGACAUGGUACCAUAAGGACAAAUAUCUUCAACUACUAUCUGCCAAGGGCAAGAAGAGAAAGAACGAUGAUAGAGUUUAGAGUUGGGAAAGAUGGAAGGCUGUGGUAAGUCCUCAACCCAGCAAAAGUCCAGGGGACGCCAGGGGUCGAAUUUCCUUAGGAGUUCUCGUCUGGCCAUCUUGGUGAAGAUCUUUGUUAAUUUUAAGGUAGCUGGGGUUAGAGAGGUAUCUACAGUACUAUCUAUCUGAAAUUUUGCUAUUAAUUUUCUAUAUUUUCCUGUAUGCAUCAUGUAUUUUUCUUUUGAAUUACUCUGUAUUUCUGUAUUUUUGAUUUUGAUUUAAGGAAAAGGUUGUGGCGAGUCUUUUGAUAAGACUCGAGUGGGGGAUUGGUGUGUGGAGAUUCUAAGAAAUCCACAUGGUGAUAGAGAUUCUGAGAAGAAGUCCACGUAUUUAAAUUAAACCCAAGUGUUGUUGAGAGAUUCUGAGAAGUCACAUACUCAGAAUGUGUUCUAUUCAUAAUGAUAAGUUUAAUUUCAAAAGUUAAAAAUUAAUAUUUCAUGGUAAGGAUAUAUAUUAACAGGUUUCAUUUUUAUAUUCAAAAAUUUAUUUGAUAAACUUUGUGGUAUAUUUCAUAUGUAAUUUCACAGCAUUUCUAACUGCGUAGUCAGCUGAGUCUGUUUUGCAUAUGAAGUUGAACUGCAUGUAUUGUUCUUUUGUAUCAAUAUUUCUUAGAAUUAUCAGUAUGAUACUUUGAAUGUAAAAGAGGAAGAAGUCCAAAAUCGAGACAUUGACUAGACUAUUUUUAAAGGUCAGGUGUUAUUAGUGAUAGCCAGAUGACGACUUAUGUCUAGAACAACAGUAUAUAAGAUAGACUCUGCAAAAUAGAAUAGGGUUUGACUUUCUGAGACUCUGGUCUCUCUAUCUUUUCAGCUCACUUCCUCUUCUUUGGCUUCACUCGACAACUCUUAGACUCAGACUUAGAACUCUUACAGGUUUUUAUUCAAAUUCAGAUACCUUGAAAUUCAGAUACUUUGAUACUCUGAUACUUUAAUAUUUUAAUAUUUUAAUACUAAUAUUUUGGUACUUUUGAUUCGAACAGAAUAAUUGUUUAUGUUUUACUUACAAUUUUAUUAAUGUUUUGAUUAAUACUGGUUGGGUUCAAUCCAUUAUAAAUGGAUUGUUAUUAAAAAUGUACUAACAUUGGAUUUACAUUUUCUAUAUUUGAAGGUUGUUAUUAUUAUCCAGAACUUUAUUUCCAAGUUAUGAUUUGUGGUUUCUGUUCUCUAUAUUCUUUUUAAUAAAUUUACAUAUUAUUACACCUUGACCGUCUGAAUUGGAUUAAAUUUUGCAUCACCUUCCCUCCAGCUUAAACCCGUGGUGUCUGGGAGCUCCACGGGAUGAUGGUAAUUGGCCCUGUUUCAGAACAGAGAGUUGAUGGUGGCGUCAUCUAAAGCCGUCGCCAUGGCGAGCCCGCAGAACUCCCAGGUGAUGUAGAAGCAGUCAUUGAACUUCUGCGGAGACGGUGUUUAUCCUCAUUAUUACAUCAUAAAGUAGAACAUUCCACAAGCUGUCGUUUUGGCAGAUUGGCCUCAAUAUAAGCUGUUUUUAGACUAAAAUGAACAUUUUGAGUUCUGAAACUUACAGGAUGUUUUUAUAGUACAAUGACCUCAUAUAUGUCAAAAGAUCAAGGGAAUAUUACUUUCUCAGUUAAUGGCCCCUUUAACUCACCUGCCUAUAGUUUUCAAGUAAGCCUGAACACCUUGAUUAGCUGGUUCAGGUUUGUUUGAUUGGGGUUAAAGCUAAACUCUUCAGGGGCAGGAUUGAUCUUCAGCAGGGUUUCUCAAACAGGGGUUCAG